Bos taurus (domestic cattle) is the source of this 72-nucleotide non-coding RNA. The record is from Rfam. NCBI's taxonomy places the organism in Eukaryota, Metazoa, Chordata, Mammalia, Artiodactyla, Bovidae.
UCCCUGGUAGCUCAGUGGGUAAAGAAUCUGCCUGCAAUGCAGGAGACCCUGGUUCAAUUCCUGGUUGGGAAG